AGCGGAGCGUGUGGUUUAAUUCGAGGCUACACGAAGAACCUUACCAGGGUUUGACAUGCAAGUGGUAGGAAUCCGAAAGGUGACCGACCUUCGGGGAGCUUGCACAGGUGCUGCAUGGCUGUCGUCAGCUCGUGUCGUGAGAUGUUCGGUUAAGUCCGCUAACGAGCGCAACCCUCGUCGUGUGUUAUACGUGUCACACGAUACUGCCGGUAUCAAGCCGGAGGAAGGUGGGAUGAUGUCAAGUCAGCAUGGCCUUUAUAUCCUGGGCUACACACACGCUACAAUGGCAGAUACAAUAGGUUGCGAAACCGCGAGGUGGAGCCAAUCCUCAAAGUCUGUCUCAGUUCAGAUUGUAGGCUGCAACUCGCCUGCAUGAAGUUGGAGUUGCUAGUAAACGCAGGUCAGCUAUACUGCGUUGAAUACGUUCCCGGGGUUU
This 436-nucleotide ribosomal RNA is filed under the name uncultured Leptolinea sp. RNAcentral's name for it is "bacterial SSU rRNA". It matches the Rfam family "Bacterial small subunit ribosomal RNA", at positions 931 to 1382 of the family's 1533-position model. The record is from RNAcentral. Lineage: Bacteria; Bacillati; Chloroflexota; Anaerolineae; Anaerolineales; Anaerolineaceae.